RNAcentral lists this ribosomal RNA (497 nucleotides) under uncultured bacterium. RNAcentral's name for it is "partial 16S ribosomal RNA". It matches the Rfam family "Bacterial small subunit ribosomal RNA", at positions 28 to 507 of the family's 1533-position model. The record is from RNAcentral.
GAUGAACGCUGGCGGCGUGCCUAAUACAUGCAAGUCGAGCGAACGGACGAGAAGCUUGCUUCUCUGAUGUUAGCGGCGGACGGGUGAGUAACACGUGGAUAACCUACCUAUAAGACUGGGAUAACUUCGGGAAACCGUAGCUAAUACCGGAUAAUAUUUUGAACCGCAUGGUUCAAAAGUGAAAGACGGUCUUGCUGUCACUUAUAGAUGGAUCCGCGCUGCAUUAGCUAGUUGGUAAGGUAACGGCUUACCAAGGCAACGAUGCAUAGCCGACCUGGGAGGGUGAUCGGCCACACUGGAACUGAGACACGGUCCAGACUCCUACGGGAGGCAGCAGUAGGGAAUCUUCCGCAAAGGGCGAAAGCCUGACGGAGCAACGCCGCGUGAGUGAUGAAGGUCUUCGGAUCGUAAAACUCUGUUAUUAGGGAAGAACAUAUGUGUAAGUAACUGUGCACAUCUUGACGGUACCUAAUCAGAAAGCCACGGCUAACUACGUG